CCUACGGGUGGCAGCAGUGAGGAAUAUUGGUCAAUGGGCGCGAGCCUGAACCAGCCAAGUAGCGUGAAGGAUGACUGCCCUACGGGUUGUAACCUUCUUUUAUAAAGGAAUAAAGUGAGGCACGUGUGCAUUUUUGUAUGUCCUUUAUGAAUAAGGAUCGGCGAACUCCGUGCCAGCAGCCGCGGUAAUACGGAGGCUCCGAGCGUUAUCCGGAUUUAUUGGGUGUAAAGGGAGAGUAGAUGGGUUGUUAAGUCAGUUGUGAACGUUUGCGGCUAAACCGUAAAAUUGCAAUUGAUACUGGCAGUCUAGAGUACAGUUGAGGUAGGCGGAAUUCGUGGUGUAGCGGUGAAAUGCUUAGAGAUCACGAAGAACUCCGAUUGCGAAGGCAGCUUACUAAACUGCCACUGACAUUGAUGCGCGAAAGUGUGGGUAGCAAACAGGAUUAGAUACCCUUGUAGUC
Molecule: ribosomal RNA, 460 nt
Filed under: uncultured bacterium
Lineage: Bacteria
Description: partial 16S ribosomal RNA
Rfam family: Bacterial small subunit ribosomal RNA
Source: RNAcentral